AUUAGAAGCAGGAUAAAUAUGUUGAUUUGAAGGACAGACGGGCAGACUCUGUGAAUUGGUGUGUGAGAGUGUCACGGUUGUCGUCGGAAGGAUGAGACCAAAGCGCAGUGUGAAAGCACAGCAGAUAUACCCUGUCAUUAUGUGGCUGAGUGAUGGGGAGA
This is a long non-coding RNA of Salvelinus namaycush (lake trout), 161 nucleotides long. RefSeq lists it as uncharacterized. The record is from RefSeq and is a predicted model, not a curated record. The transcript is spliced from 3 exons. NCBI's taxonomy places the organism in Eukaryota, Metazoa, Chordata, Actinopteri, Salmoniformes, Salmonidae.